RNAcentral lists this ribosomal RNA (274 nucleotides) under uncultured bacterium. RNAcentral's name for it is "partial 16S ribosomal RNA". It matches the Rfam family "Bacterial small subunit ribosomal RNA", at positions 523 to 796 of the family's 1533-position model. The record is from RNAcentral.
AUACGAAGGGAGCUAGCGUUGUUCGGAAUUACUGGGCGUAAAGCGCACGUAGGCGGAUUUGUUAGUCAGGGGUGAAAUCCCGGGGCCCAACCUCGGAACUGCCUUUGAUACUGCAAGUCUGGAGUCCGGAAGAGGUGGGUGGAAUUCCUAGUGUAGAGGUGAAAUUCGUAGAUAUUAGGAAGAACACCGGUGGCGAAGGCGGCCCACUGGUCCGGUACUGACGCUGAGGUGCGAAAGCGUGGGGAGCAAACAGGAUUAGAAACCCCAGUAGUCC